Molecule: long non-coding RNA, 756 nt
Filed under: Olea europaea subsp. europaea
Lineage: Eukaryota; Viridiplantae; Streptophyta; Magnoliopsida; Lamiales; Oleaceae
Source: RNAcentral
AUUAUAUAAAUCUUCAGUCCUUUGACGUAAUGUCUACAAAAGUGAGCUUUCAGAUUUUAAGUUACUGAGAUUCUUGGCUAUAACAUAGACAGUCUUAUUUUAAAUUCACUAUCACUACAUAUUCUAUUUCCGAAAGACUUCCUAUGAAAUGUUGCCCAUUUCCUCUCAUUUCAUUCUUCUCGUGUUGCAUCUUGCUCCUUCCAUUUUAGUGCCUUGGUUCUUGGUAAAACCCUGCCUUUCCCAAAUUUUCUUCCAUAUUUCAACGAGAUCUUCUUACGGAAAUCAUUCAACAAUCGUUCGAACUACAAAGGGAAGAAUCUCGAAUCUUGUAGGAGAAUCAUAAGCGGAUGAGGGUUCGGGAAGAAGAUCUGCUAUUUCUAAAAGAUCCUAAUUAAGUUGGAUAUUUCUUUGUUGUUGCAGUUUUUGAGGUAUUUUGCUAAAGAUUUGUUCAUUUUAUGUGUGAGUUUAUACUGAUCAGUGAACAUUUAAGAUUUAAGCUUUCAUAAUGUUUAUUUCCUAGGCAAAAUGUUGGAAAAAAAUGGUUUAAUGGGUCAACUUUGAGCCCAAAUUUCAGUGGGACCCACCUUUUAAAUAAUACGGGACCUAGCAUAUUCACGUUCUAUUCCGCGAGAUGAUGAACGUGAUAUAUUUAUUUAUCGAAAACCAUUUAAAAUUGAAUGAAAUAUUAAGUGUUAAAGUAACCCACAUAAACUAAGGAUUAUGGAAGAAUUUGAUUUGCCAAACACUUAUCCCACA